CCGAGUUUACACUCCAUAACCCUUAUGUGAACCGUACCUAUCGUUGCUUCGGCGGGAACGCCCCGGCGCCUCGAGCCCGGACCCAGGCGCCCGCCGGAGGCCCCAAACUCUUGUGUUUUCCAGCAGUAUUCUCUGAGUGGCAUAACGCAAAAAAUAAAUCA
This 161-nucleotide unclassified non-coding RNA is filed under the name uncultured Stachybotrys. RNAcentral's name for it is "sequence contains ITS1". Lineage: Eukaryota; Fungi; Ascomycota. The record is from RNAcentral.